Dipodomys ordii (Ord's kangaroo rat) is the source of this 70-nucleotide non-coding RNA. NCBI's taxonomy places the organism in Eukaryota, Metazoa, Chordata, Mammalia, Rodentia, Heteromyidae. The record is from Rfam.
GGGAAGGUGGCUCAGUAGUAGAGUGCUUACUUUGCAUGUAUGAGGCACUGGGUUCAAUUCCUCCAUACCA